This 664-nucleotide long non-coding RNA is filed under the name Triticum aestivum (bread wheat). RNAcentral's name for it is "long non-coding RNA (TAES_LNC014533)". Lineage: Eukaryota; Viridiplantae; Streptophyta; Magnoliopsida; Poales; Poaceae. The record is from RNAcentral.
UAAAUGGCAUAUAAAAUACAGUUCAAAACAGAUGCUAUACAUGCAAUUACAUAUUCUCGGAAAAAAAAUGUAAUUACAUAUAUUUAUCACCGCUGCAUUGAUUUCCUUGAGAAAUUUAGUAAUCCUUAUAAUUAUGCUGAUUUGAAGCAUCAUGUUCCAUCUUUCAUCUUGCAUCUCCACUAAAUUAUGUCUCGCACCUGUUCACCACAUUCAGUUUGACGCUAUCCACAAUGGGGAGCAGACUUGUGACUGAAAACACAAAUUUUAUGUUCUUUCCCGUCCUGCAAGAACUUAUGCAAUUUUGAACUUUGGCACAAACACCACAAUGCAGAACCGUGUAUGAUGUGGGUUGUAACAAGCAAAAAAGUUGGGAGUUUCAUGGAUGAGGAGGACGUCGGCUACUGUUGUCGUUGUGCGCUGCUGAAUUCGGAUGGAGGGGGUACGAGAGGUGCUGCUGAGGGCUUACCUGGAGAGAAGGAGAAAACAUAGCAGUGUCCGGAUCACAGGCGCCUUGCAGCUCCUUAGCGCAUGUAGGGGCAGCCUCGAUUCCGCCUCUGCUCCAGACCCUUCCUCAAUCCACCACCUACCUACUCCAGCUCCUUUUCAAUACGCCUUGAACCUCUUGGAUUUCUCACAUGGAUGGCUUGUAAGGCAUAUCCUGAAA